Molecule: non-coding RNA, 111 nt
Organism: Brachypodium distachyon (stiff brome)
Lineage: Eukaryota; Viridiplantae; Streptophyta; Magnoliopsida; Poales; Poaceae
Source: RefSeq, marked provisional
UAGCUGCAUUGUACUCCCUCUGUUCCAUAAAGAUUGGCACGGCUUUGAACUAGGGCUAGUUCAAAAUCAUGCCAACCUUUAUGGAACGGAGGGAGUAGCUGCUAAAAUUUU